Molecule: long non-coding RNA, 1732 nt
Filed under: Macaca fascicularis (crab-eating macaque)
Lineage: Eukaryota; Metazoa; Chordata; Mammalia; Primates; Cercopithecidae
Description: lncRNA (ENSMFAG00000048066.1)
Source: RNAcentral
CUCUGCGUUAUAAUAGGUUCUUUCAUUUUAUUGCUUAUUGUAAACACUUUGGCCACAGCAAAUGUUAGUUUUUAAAUAACCAUAAUUCAAAGCUUUCACAUCCUAUACUAUUUUUCCCCAAGCAUCAUCAUCUAUGAAAACAACCAGUGAACUCCAACAGUCUAUACUUGUAAUGUGCGCAUUUAUGCUAUUAUGCCACUUAAUACAAAUAGUAAAAAUACUCAUCUAUUGUAGGCUUAUGGGUUUGUAAAAUGCCUUAUGGGAGGCCAUAAACAACUCAAAGAAGAGAGAUGGUGUGGACUGAACUGGCUUCUAUUUGGGGAAAAUCUGCAGAACGUAGGAGGUAUGCAGUAAAUGUUUAUUGAUGGUGAAGAUGAUAAAACUCUUAUCUGCUGGUCUUUCCUUUCCAUUUUUCUGAAAGAAUAUAUGGUAUAUUUGUAUUCAGCAUUCUCAGAAUCAUCACAGGGACCCUGGCACUUUGAGAGUCAUAGCUGCAGUGUAAUUGGGUCUGACCACAUGCAGAAGAAAAAUAAAUUAAAGCAUGGGUACUAUUAAAAUUGUGCUGAAAACUUUAUGUAAGUCGGGGAGCCCCUCACUAGAACAGGCUGAAACUCCUGAAUGCUUCGCAUCCUCAUGUAUAAGAAAAUAAUCAGUGCUUAAAAAUCAAGGAAGUCAUUCAAAACAAAUUCAGCCUUUGGACCUUACUGGCAGGUAGAUUAUAUUUCAGUCAGAUCAAUAUCUUUCUAAUAUAGGUAUUUGAAAGUAAUAUAUACUACUUAUAAUAAUGAUGUAGUAAGCUUCUUAUCUGCAAGUAUAGGUACUAUAACUUAAACCUUGAAAUGCUUCAUUUGAUUCUUUCAUUCAGCAAAAUUCUUGGCACUUUUUGGGAUUUCACUGAAUUUUGAUGAUGAUAUUGGAUUAAACAUUUUAGAUUUAAUCAUAAAAUGACACAAAAAUCUAAUCAUCUAUUUCCAAUGUUCAAUAUACAAUUUUUAUAAAUACCUGAAACAACUCAUAUAAAAAUAUAAAAUGUUAAGGUCACUCACAGCAAAAUACAGCACAUUAGAAUUAUUUAUUAUACAUAUAAAGGUAGGCACUUCAUAAAAAUUGCAUUUUGGCAAAAGGCAACAGUUUGAUGUCAGUAUCUUAAUUUUGUUAUUAACUUUUUUAAGAGAAUAGAUUAUCAAAAUUUUACAAAAAGAUAAAAAUAAUAGUUUCAAAGAUUUCCACAGAAGGGAAUCUGAACUUCAUUUCCCACUCUUCCUUCUUUUUGCAAGCCUAUUGUGUAUCUUCAUGGUCAAGUUCUGAGAUUUUUGCUCCCUGACCUGAAAUCCUGUGGGAAUAUUUGAUUUCUCAUCUUUUACUCAGAAGUGAUGUGUCUGCUACCUGUGGAACGUGAUACAAUUUUUUUUUUCUCCCCACAGUUGGAAUAACCUUUAUUCUGAUCUACUAUACAGUCAGAUGAUGUUUAGGUGGUAGUAGCUGGCAUUGAAGAGUUCUUGGCUUCAAGUGGUUGUUGAGUCUUUUUGGUCUUGUUUUAACUCUGUAAUUAAAUAAAUAAGAUCCAACUCUUUCUGUUGUAUUCACUAUUGAACACAUAGAAAUUCACUUCACACCCACCUAAAACACAAGCAGAACUUCUGAGGCCCAAUGAACCCAUCUACUAUUUGAUUUUGUUAUCCCUUCUGGAGCAUGUCUCUACCAAGAGCUUCACAAAGCAAUCUAGUCGUUG